GAGGAAUAUUGGACAAUGGAGGAAACUCUGAUCCAGCCAUGCCGCGUGCAGGAUGAAUGCCCUAUGGGUUGUAAACUGCUUUUAUACAGGAAGAAACAUUUCCACGUGUGGAAACUUGACGGUACUGUAAGAAUAAGGAUCGGCUAACUCCGUGCCAGCAGCCGCGGUAAUACGGAGGAUCCAAGCGUUAUCCGGAAUUAUUGGGUUUAAAGGGUCCGUAGGUGGUUAUUUAAGUCAGAGGUGAAAUCCUGCCGCUUAACGGUAGAACUGCCUUUGAUACUGAUUAACUUGAGUUAUUGUGAAGUAGUUAGAAUAUGUAGUGUAGCGGUGAAAUGCAUAGAUAUUACAUAGAAUACCGAUUGCGAAGGCAGAUUACUAACAAUAUACUGACACUGAGGGACGAAAGCGUGGGUAGCGAAC
This 420-nucleotide ribosomal RNA is filed under the name uncultured Flavobacteriaceae bacterium. RNAcentral describes it as "bacterial SSU rRNA". It matches the Rfam family "Bacterial small subunit ribosomal RNA", at positions 356 to 773 of the family's 1533-position model. The record is from RNAcentral. Lineage: Bacteria; Pseudomonadati; Bacteroidota; Flavobacteriia; Flavobacteriales; Flavobacteriaceae.